RNAcentral lists this long non-coding RNA (216 nucleotides) under Musa acuminata (dwarf banana). Its description in RNAcentral is "long non-coding RNA (MACU_LNC009345)". Lineage: Eukaryota; Viridiplantae; Streptophyta; Magnoliopsida; Zingiberales; Musaceae. The record is from RNAcentral.
CCUAAUACAUUGGUAGUAGAAAAAUAGAUGAUGCGAUUGGAGAAGAUAUUUGAUGUACGAAAUUGUUCUGAUGAUCAAAAGAAUUUUUGGAGAUCAAGGACAGGAAUAAAAAGGAUAAGUUUACCAAAAAAAAAAAAGAUUAGAAAUGAAUCUGAAUGUGAUAAUAAGAGGGUCAAGAUAUCAUCGAUUUGAAAAGGGAAGUCACCACAAAAGAUU